GGUAUGAAAGGGUUAACGAAGAAGGUGCUGUGUCUAAAAAUUCAAUUUAAACUAACUUUAAGGUGAAGAGGCCUUUAUGUAAAAGAAGGACGACAAGACCCUAUGAAGCUUUAUCUUAAUUAGAGCUCUCAGGCUCUUAUACGAUUUUGAUGGGAGAUCAGUAGAAAUAAGUCUUCUACUAUCAUAUUAAUCUUACUAGUAUUUCCUAACUUUAUAUGUGUGGCUAGCUACUCUAGGGAUAACAGCGCAAUUUCUCCCGAAAGAUGGUAUUGGAGGGGAAGAUUGCGACCUCGAUGUUGGCUUUAGAUAUCCUAGAGGCGUAGAAGCUUCU
This 331-nucleotide ribosomal RNA is filed under the name Mytilus galloprovincialis (Mediterranean mussel). RNAcentral's name for it is "partial 16S ribosomal RNA". It matches the Rfam family "Bacterial large subunit ribosomal RNA", at positions 1989 to 2566 of the family's 2925-position model. Lineage: Eukaryota; Metazoa; Mollusca; Bivalvia; Mytilida; Mytilidae. The record is from RNAcentral.